UACGGAGGGAGCUAGCGUUGUUCGGAAUUACUGGGCGUAAAGCGCGCGUAGGCGGCUUUGUAAGUUAGAGGUGAAAGCCCGGAGCUCAACUCCGGAACUGCCUUUAAAACUGCAUCGCUUGAAUCCAGGAGAGGUGAGUGGAAUUCCGAGUGUAGAGGUGAAAUUCGUAGAUAUUCGGAAGAACACCAGUGGCGAAGGCGGCUCACUGGACUGGUAUUGACGCUGAGGUGCGAAAGCGUGGGGAGCAAACAGG
Molecule: ribosomal RNA, 253 nt
Filed under: uncultured bacterium
Lineage: Bacteria
Also listed under: 1 other name
Description: partial 16S ribosomal RNA
Rfam family: Bacterial small subunit ribosomal RNA
Source: RNAcentral